RNAcentral lists this ribosomal RNA (449 nucleotides) under uncultured Thiobacillus sp. Its description in RNAcentral is "bacterial SSU rRNA". It matches the Rfam family "Bacterial small subunit ribosomal RNA", at positions 929 to 1382 of the family's 1533-position model. The record is from RNAcentral. Lineage: Bacteria; Pseudomonadati; Pseudomonadota; Betaproteobacteria; Nitrosomonadales; Thiobacillaceae.
GCGUGGAUGAUGUGGAUUAAUUCGAUGCAACGCGAAGAACCUUACUACCCUUGACAUGUCCGGAACUUGCCAGAGAUGGCUUGGUGCCCGAAAGGGAAUCGGAACACAGGUGCUGCAUGGCUGUCGUCAGCUCGUGUCGUGAGAUGUUGGGUUAAGUCCCGCAACGAGCGCAACCCUUAUCAUUAGUUGCUACGCAAGGGCACUCUAAUGAGACUGCCGGUGACAAACCGGAGGAAGGUGGGGAUGACGUCAAGUCCUCAUGGCCCUUAUCGGGUAGGGCUUCACACGUCAUACAAUGGUCGGUACAGAGGGUUGCCAAGCCGCGAGGCGGGAGCCAAUCCCACAAAGCCGAUCGUAGUCCGGAUUGUUCUCUGCAACUCGAGAGCAUGAAGUCGGAAUCGCUAGUAAUCGCAGGUCAGCAUACUGCGGUGAAUACGUUCCCGGGUCUU